UACGAAGGGGGCUAGCGUUGCUCGGAAUCACUGGGCGUAAAGGGUGCGUAGGUGGUGAGGUAAGUCGGAUGUGAAAUCUCCGAGCUCAACUCGGAAAUUGCAUUGGAAACUACCUUGCUUGAGGGUUGGAGGGGGGACUGGAAUGCUUGGUGUAGCAGUGAAAUGCGUAGAUAUCAAGCGGAACACCAGUGGCGAAGGCGAGUCCCUGGACAACACCUGACACUGAGGCACGAAAGCUAGGGGAGCAAACAGG
RNAcentral lists this ribosomal RNA (253 nucleotides) under uncultured bacterium. RNAcentral's name for it is "partial 16S ribosomal RNA". It matches the Rfam family "Bacterial small subunit ribosomal RNA", at positions 524 to 776 of the family's 1533-position model. The record is from RNAcentral.